This is a ribosomal RNA of Neurospora crassa OR74A, 3337 nucleotides long. It matches the Rfam family "Eukaryotic large subunit ribosomal RNA". The record is from Rfam. NCBI's taxonomy places the organism in Eukaryota, Fungi, Ascomycota, Sordariomycetes, Sordariales, Sordariaceae.
UGACCUCGGAUUAAAUAGGAAUACCCGUUGAAUUUAAAUAUAUUAAUAAGCAGAGGAAAAGAAACUAAUAGGGAUUACCCUAAUAACAGUAAGUAAAGUAGUAAUAACUCAAAUUUAAAAUUUAGCUUCAACCCGAAUUAUAAUUUAUAAAGGAAGCUUUUAGUAAAGCACCUUCUAAAUCCCUUAGAACAAAGCACUAUAGAGGGUAAGAGCCCUAUAUAGUCGGAUGCCAAUCUAAUAUAAAGCUCCUUCAAUAAAUUAAAUAAUUUAGGAAUACUAUUCAAAAUAGGAGGUAAAUUUCUUCUAAAAUUAAAUACCAGCUAGAAAUUAAUAGUAUACAAGUAGAAUAAUUAAAAGAUGAAAAGCACUUUAAAAAGAGGGUUAAAUAGUAUGUAAAAUUAUUAAAAGGGAAAUAUUUAUAAUUAAAUUUAUAUUGUUCCAAUUAUUUAAUAUUCUUACUAGUAUAUUUAGGAUAGUUCAAACUAGUAUCGAUUUUAGCGGAGGGAUAAAGGUCCGGGGAAUAUAACUCCUCUAGGAAUAUUAUAACCCCGGGCGUAAUACCUUCGCCGGGAUUAAAAUUCGUAUAUUUAUAAGGAUACUAGUAUAAUAGUUAUUAAUGACCCGUCUUAAAAUACGGACUAAAGAAUUAAAGUUUUACGCAAAUAUUUGGGUAUAAAACCCGUAUAUAUAAUAAAAGUAAAUGUAAGUAAGAGCUUCGGCGUAUUAUUAACCGAUUCUAAUAUAUUUAGAUAGAUUUAAAUAAAAGCGUUAAACUUUAAACCCGAAAGAUAGUAAAUUAUAUUUAAAUAGGGUGAAGCUAGAGGAAAUUCUAAUAGAGGUUCGUAGUAGUUCUAAUGUACAAAUUAAUUGUUAAAUUUAAGUAUAGGGGCGAAAAAUUAAUUAAAUUAUUUAGUAGCUAGUUACUGCCGAAGUUUCCCUUAAGAUAGUAAUAUUGUUCUUUAAUUUUAUAAGGUAAAGCGAAUAAUUAAAGAUUCGGGGGCGCUUUUUAGCCUUUAUUUAUUUUUAAACUUUAAAUAUAUAAGAAGCCUUUAUUACUUAAUUGAAUAUAAGUAUUCGAAUAUACUAAUAUUAGUAGGCUAUUUUUAAUAAAUAGAAUUAAUAAUAUAGAAUAAAUUAAAUGUAGGGUUAAAAUACUGGAGUAAACGCUUAUUAAAUACUAUAAAAAGCGUUAAUAUAUUUUAAUAGUAGGACGGUAGCUAUAGAAAUCGAAAUCCGCUAAGGAUUAUAUAAUAAUUUACUUACCGAAUAUACUAACCCUAAAAAUAAAUAGCGCUCAAAUGUCCCACCUAUACUCCGCCCUUAGGGUAGAAAUAAUACUUUAAAAAAUAAAUAGCCGUAGAAAUUAGUAAUAAAACCUAAAGCGUAAACCCGAAUUGAACGGCCUUUAAUAUAAAUCUUAGUAGUAGUAGUAAAUAUUUUAAUAAGAAUUUAAAAGACCGAAGUAGGGAAAGGUUCUAUAUAAAUAGCGGUUGGAUAUAGGUUAAUCGAUCUUAAGCUAUAGGGAAAUUCUAUUUUAAAGGGGCAUUUAUACUUUAUAUAGCGAAAAGGAAGCCGGUUAAUAUUCUAGUACCUAAAUAUAGGUUUUGUGUAGUAACGCAAUUAAACGUAGAAACAAUAGCGGAAGCCCCGGGCAGAGUUUUCUUUUCUUUUUAAUAGUUUAUUACCUUAAAAACAAUUUAUUUAAAAAUAGGGUUUAAUAAUUAGAAGAGUUUAAUACUUCUAUUAAGUCCGGUACACUCUUAACGUCCUUUAAAAAUCCGUAGGAAGGAAUAAUUCUUAUACUAAGUCGUACUUAUAAUUAUAAUAGGUCUUUAAAGUAAAUAGCCUCUAAUUAAUAGAACAAUAUAAAUAAAGGAAGUCGGUAAAAUAGAUCCGUAACUUUAGGAAAAAAAUUAAUUCUAAAGGUUAAAUAUAUUAGGCUUUAAAUAAACGCCCUAAAAAUAGAUCGCUACUAGCUAGGCAACCGGCUAAUAAUUUUUAAUAUCCGGCUAUAAAAGCCCUUAAUAAACUUCGGUCGUCCGGCGUAUAUUUAAUAACUAACUUAGAAUUAAUAUAAAUAGGAGGAAUUUAACUAUUUAAUUAAAAUAUAGUAUUACAAUAGUUAGAAAAUAAUAUUAAUACAAUAUAAUUUCUAUUUAAUACUCUAAAUAUCAAAGUAAAGAAAUUCAACUAAGCGCGGGUAAACAGUAGGAAUAACUAUAAUUCUCUUAAAAUAACUAAAUACUUCGUUAUCUAAUUAAUAACAUAUAUAAAUAAAUUAAUAAAAUUCCUACUAUCCCUAUCUACUAUCUAGCGAAACUAUAAUUAAAGGAACGGGCUUAAUAAAAUUAACGGAGAAAAAAGACCCUAUUAAACUUAACUCUAAUUUAAUAUUAUAAAAAGAUAUAGGAAGUAUAAAAUAGGUAGGAGCUUCGGCGCUAGUAAAAUACUACUACUCCUAUUAUUUUUUUAUUUAUUUAAUUAAGCGGGGCUAGAUUUUCGUCCAACUUCUAAUUUUAAGGUCCUUUGCAGGCCAACCCGGAUUAAAAAUAUUAUUAAAUAGGGAAUUUGGCUAGGGUAGUACAUUUAUUAAACUAUAAUGCAAAUAUUUUAAAGGGGGCUUAUAGAGAAUAGAAAUUUCUAGUAGAAUAAAAGGGUAAAAAUCCCUUUAAUUUUAAUUUUCAAUAUAAAUAUAAAUUAUAAAAGUAUAGCCUAUCGAUCCUUUAAUCCCUUAAAAUUUAAAACUAGAAGUACUAAAAAAGUUACUAUAGGAAUAACUAACUUAUAGUAGCCAAACGUUUAUAGUAAUAUUGCUUUUUAAUCUUUUAAUAUUGGCUCUUCCUAUUAUACUAAAAUAGAAUUCGGUAAAUAUUAAAUUAUUCACCUACUAAUAAGGAACGUAAAUUAAAUUUAAACUAUUAUAAAAUAGAUUAAUUUUACCCUAUUAAUAACCUUAUUACAAUAGUAAUUAAAUUUAAUAUAAGAGGAACUAUUUAUUUAAAUAAUUAGUUUUUACAAUUGUCCAACUAAAUAAUACUACAAUACUACUAUUUAUUAAAUAAUAAUUAAAUACCUCUAAAUUAAAAUCUAUACUAAAAUAUAAUAAUACUUUUAGUAUAUUAUAAACGUAUAAAAAUAGGCUCCAGCCUUGUAUUUUAAUAAGUAAUUCCUCUAUUAGCUUUAAAAUAGCUAGUAGUAAUUUAUAUAUUAUAAUUUUAAUACGUACUAAAUUAAAUUCUUUAUAAACGAUUUAAAUAUACGAAAGAAUCUUAUAAGUAGUAGAAUAGCCUUAUUAUUAUAAUUUAUUAAGGGUAAGCCCUCCUUCGCCUAAAUUUCC